Molecule: ribosomal RNA, 406 nt
Filed under: uncultured bacterium
Lineage: Bacteria
Description: partial 16S ribosomal RNA
Rfam family: Bacterial small subunit ribosomal RNA
Source: RNAcentral
AUUGAACGCUGGCGGCAGGCCUAACACCUGCAAGUCGGGCGGGCGGCGGACGGGUGAGUAAUGUAUGGGGAUCUGCCUGAUGGAGGGGGCUAACUACUGGAAACGGUAGCUCAUACCGCAUACCAUCCUAUCACCCCAUCUGGGAGUAGCUUGUAGGUGAGGUAACGGCUCACCUAGGCGACGAUCCCUAGCUGGUCUGAGAGGAUGAUCAGCCACACUGGGACUGAGACACGGCCCAGACUCCUACGGGAGGCAGCAGUGGGGAAUAUUGCACAAUGGGCGAAAGCCUGAGGCAGCCAGGCCGCGUGUAUGAAGAAGGCCUUAGGGUUGUAAAGUACUGUCAGCGGGGAGGCGUUACCCGCAGAAGAAGCACCGGCUAACUACGUGCCAGCCGCCGCGGUAAUAC